Molecule: long non-coding RNA, 22333 nt
Filed under: Solanum tuberosum (potato)
Lineage: Eukaryota; Viridiplantae; Streptophyta; Magnoliopsida; Solanales; Solanaceae
Description: long non-coding RNA (STUB_LNC008584)
Source: RNAcentral
UACAAUCACAUUCCAAGGAACAAUAAUUGGAGACGAAAAUGCUCCUAUAGUUGCUGCAUUUUCCUCAAGAGGACCAAGUAGAGCUAGUCCUGGCAUCUUGAAACCUGACAUAAUCGGUCCUGGUGUUAAUAUUCUUGCUGCUUGGCCUACCUCCGUGGAUGACAACAAAAAUACCAAAUCUACAUUCAAUAUUAUAUCAGGCACCUCGAUGUCUUGCCCUCACCUUAGUGGCGUAGCAGCUCUGCUGAAGAGCACACAUCCUGAUUGGUCUCCUGCUGCUAUUAAGUCUGCAAUCAUGACAACUGCUGACACGUUAAACCUUGCCAGUAGUCCAAUACUAGACGAAAAGCUCCUUCAUGCUGACAUUUUCGCAAUUGGUGCAGGACAUGUUAAUCCAUCAAGGGCAAAUGAUCCAGGGCUAGUUUAUGAUACCCCAUUCGAGGACUAUCUACCUUAUUUAUGUGGUUUGAACUAUACAAAUCGACAGGUAGGUAACCUGUUACAACGCAGGGUGAAUUGCUCGGAGGUGAAAAGUAUCCCUGAAGCACAAUUAAACUAUCCUUCAUUUUCUGUAUCCGAACUUGGAUCAACUCCUCAGACAUAUACCAGAACUGUGACCAACGUUGGUGAUGCUACAUCAUCUUACAAAGUGGAGGUAGCUUCACCAAAAGGCGUUGUCGUGGAAGUUGAACCCUCCGAGCUAAAUUUCUCCGAGUUGAACCAGAAGUUAACAUACCAAGUAACAUUUUCCAAGACAACUAGCAGCUCAAACAUUGAGGUUGCUGAGGGUUUCUUGAAGUGGACUUCUAAUAGGCACUCAGUGAGAAGUCCAAUUGCAGUUGUGUUAGCCUAGUGAAAAAUUGGCUUUAUGAGUGCAUAAAGUACUCAAUGCAUUUUAUUAUACUGAAAAUGCUGCUUGUUUUCGCUAUAUACUUUAUGUUAUUGUUAUAUAGUACUCCCUCCGUUUCACAAAGAAUGACCUGGUUUGACUUGGCACGGAGUUUAAGUAAAUAAAGAAGACUUUUGAAUCUUGUGGUCCUAAAUUAAAGUUAUGUCAAAUGUACAAAAUUGCCCUUAAUCUUGUGGUCUUAAACAUGCCACGUGGAAAGCAAAAAGUAAAAUGUUACCAAAAAAGGAAAGAGGUCAUUCUUUUUGAAACUGACUAAAAAGGAAGGGAGGUCAUUCUUUGUGAACCGGAGGGAGUAUUUUUUAAAAAAAGAAUGACCUCUUUCCUUUUUUGGUAACAUUUUACUUUUUGCUUUCCACGUGGCAUGUUUAAGACCACAAGAUUAAGGGCAAUUUUGUACAUUUGACAUAACUUUAAUUUAGGACCACAAGAUUCAAAAGUCUUCUUUAUUUACUUAAACUCCGUGCCAAGUCAAACGAGGUCAUUCUUUGUGAAACGGAGGGAGUAGUAAUUAAGAUACUUAGUUUUUUACCCUUAUUUUUCUUUAAAUAUUACUUGAGUGAGCAUGUGAGAAUUUCGGUUCAUACUCAAAUUUGGAAAAUUAGUUGUCGCCUACCUAAUAACGCACCCUUUGAUCCAGAAGGGAAGGCAUGAUUCUUUUUCAAGUUAGAAGAUCUUUCGGAACACAAUGGGGAAUUACGGAGACGAGUUCUACAGAUGAUUUUGCUCGAGAAGAUUAAGAAACGGAGAAAACAUUAACGAUAUAUACUUUUUGACCAAACUAUUUAUAUUCAAUUUCGCAUAGUUCAGACCGAAAAUAUUAUUAUUGCUAAAAAGAAAGUCUAAGUCUUUGCUUCUCUGGUGACUUCAAAAAAGUAAUUGGGUGCUAAACUUAUUAGUAUGACAAGAAAAAUAAUAGGGACAUUCCUAUGAGUUUUCUUGAAAAAACUUUAUAAUUAUUUCAUUUGGACACUUUUAUGUAUAUGUAAUACUCUUUUCCUCGCAAAAUCUCUUUCUAUCAAAAAUUCAAAAUAAAAUAAAAAUUGGUUUUCAUGUUUGCUAGUCAAAAUGUUUUUGGAAAGUAUUUUCUCCAAGAUAACAAGUUUCGAAAAAUGACUUUCCAAAUAGAAGUAGGAAAAAAUAAGUUUCAUAAAUAAAAUUUUAAGUUCAUUAUCUCCUUCUAUCCAGCAACGCCCCCAACCCUUGAUCAUUCCACCACCCUGCCAUCCCAACUCGUAUAUUAUUUUUCAUGAAAAAUAUUUUCUUCGUUCCAAACACACUCUGUAUCAAAAUAUCCCUUCACUUUAUAUGUAUUUUCUAUCACUUCAAUUAUUAAUGGAGGAUUUCAUUUCCAUGGGCAGAAAUGUAUGAUUUUUGAGUAUUUCACUUCCAAACUUUGAUUGUUUAAAUUCUGUUGAAUUCGAGGCAUAUAUGACUUUAACCCAUAAUUUCCACCUCAAAUUAUAAAAAACUAAUUACUUUUCUUAUAUAUGAAUAGCGGUCAUAAUUAGUUUUGGUGAGCGAUCAAAUGUGUAACGUUUCUAUAUAAUUUAAUUGUAUAAUUUAACCUUCAAAUAUACUGGUGUUUAAUUUUGUCCUUCAAAUGCUCUAGUCUUUAAUUUUUAUAAAAAAAAAGUGCACAACUUAUAAAAUAUUAUGAUAUAAGAAUAUAAAUUUAUAUCCAUGUAAAAAAUUAUUUAUCUUAAAAGACAAAAAUUAUAAACGAACACAAAAUAAAGACAAAAACGCAAAGGACCCCCUCCCUUACAGGUAUCCACUUGGCUGGAUCAGUAUGAUUAUUACAGUCUGGGUCAGCCUGGUAAUAACCCGGACCGACCCAAUUAUAUGAGUUGGGAUGGAAUUGGAGAAGGAGUUGUGCCAAACGAAGUAAAGAAAAGAACUUUUAAAUUUCUAAUUCUGGCUCCGCAUAUGCAACGAGUGAGACGGACUUGUUCAUCACACUUUUGACGUGGUCUUUUCUUUUCCUUUAUAUUUUAUGGAAAUAAUGAAAUCAACUACUCUAUUAUUUGUGUAAAACAAUUCUACAUACUUUUUCUUUCAAUCAUGACUUCUUUUUUUUCCACACGAUAACAAAGUUUCAUCGUGAGUUUUAACGUGUAAUGGACAGCACAUUUUAACAACCGGGGCGGAAUCACAUAAGAGCAAAGGGAUUUUUUUAGUGAAAAAUUAAUAUUAUAUAUAUAAGGUUAAAAUUAAAUUUUACGUUGAAUUUUCUCAACUUUUUUUUUUUUUUUUUUGUGUAUUUUUAGUUCAUUAUAUAUAUAUUUGUAGGUGAAAAUCAUGACCUUGUCACUAUUGACAACCCCUUCCCUUUCUAUAGAUACUUAAAUUAUGUUGAUUCUAAUUUGCGAGCGGGGAGGAAAAAGAAAUUAAGUUAACGUGGAUAGUCUUACAAGGACAAAACAAUAUAUGUGAAUCUGAAAUUAAUCAGAUUACUAGAUAAUAAAUACUUAAUGGUGAAACUUUUUUUUUAAAAAAAAAACUAAAAACAUAUAGUUGCUUGAUUGAGAUAAAUUAGUGGAUUACCGAAGGUGGUGGAGCCACCUUGUUAGUGACACUCCUUUGUGGGAAAAUUAGACGGGUGGUAGAUAGAUGGGUUUAAUAUAAUAUGUGUGGGGAAUUUUCUCGAUUUUUUUAUAAUUUGAUUAUUCUUAAUGAAAAUUCAUGUUUUGCUACUGAUCACCAAAGCCAAAAUAUAUAUAAAGAGGAAGGUUAACAAUAUAUAUAUUUUUUAGGGAUAAGGGUCUGAAAAAUACCUCAACUUUGGUCGGAUUUGCUGUUGCGAUACUAAACUUUCAUGAGGACCUAUUACCUCCCUAGGCUAUUUAAUACCGUAUUUUAAAAAUAUAUAUUUGCCCACGUGGACAUAAAAAAUAAUGCAAAAUUAUAAAUAGUAAUGUGUCAAUGUGGGCACAUAUAUACCUUUAAAAUACACUAUUAAAUAGUUCAGGAGGUAAAAAUACGGUAUUAAAUAGUCUAGGGAGGUAAUAGGUCUUUAUGAAAGUUUAGUAUCGCAACAGCAAAUCCGACCAAAGUUGGGGUAUUUUUCAGACACUUAUCCCUAUUUUUUAUCUCUAAGUUAAUAUUGUUAAAUUCUAAUUUUAGUCCUUAUAUCUGAUUAAGUACAUUUAAUCUUCAAUCAAUUGAAUUGUGCACCUUUAAUUCCUUUAUUUGUGAUUAUUCAAAAAUUUACCAUGAUUAUUCAAAAAUUUCCACCACUUAAUUAUCAAUAUGUUAAACUGGUACUAAUAUAGUUCUAAAAUAUUCCAACCAUAACAUAAGUAUUUCUUACAAAAGGGACCAAAAACAUACAUCUCAAGUAACUAGACAUUAAAUAUGUUUUUAUUGAAUAUUAUCCUAAAAUGAAAGUCUAAAGAGUCUGUUUGGAUCUGUUUAAAAGUUGAUCAAACCUACUUUUAGGUUAUUUUUAGCUUUUGAAAGUAUUUGACAAAAUUAAAAAUUACUGAAAAUAAGUUUAAAAUGAAUUAAAAGUUAAAAACCUCUACUUUUCAUUUUUUAACUUAAAAGUUACUAAAGUUUGACUUUUUAAAAACUACUUUUAAAAAACUAUUUUUUUAAGUUAAGCCAAACGGUUCAAAAAGUAAUUGGGACAUUGAGUCGUUGAUGCUUAACAUAUUAAUAGGGCAAGAAAAACAAUAAUCCUAUGAGUUUCCUCGAAAAUACGUUGUAAUUAAUUCACGUGGACACUUUUUAUUUUUUAACAUUUUGUGGUCAAGCGAGAAAUCUAUAAUGAAUUCUAAAUUUAAUAUUUAUAUAUAUUUGAUAAUUUUUUCAACAUAAAAUAUAUUAUUUGAGCAAAAUCUACUGAAUUCGGUCGAACCCGCGUGCGACUUACUAGCUUUAUCAUUCACGACAUGCCAACUAUACAUGUCAAAUGUCCACGCAAGUCCAAUCUCCACAAUUGAAGGAGAUCAUCAUCCAUGUAACACGUUUCGUCUUGCAAAGAAAUUAAAUUAACCAAACUUUAGUUUUGUUAUUAUUUUUUAAAUCUCGAUCAAUUCAAAUCUCCUCUGAACACCCUAAAUUUUAGAUAUGAGCUCAUCUCGAUAUUUCAAAGCUAUUGAUAUAUUAUUCAUUUAAAAUGAUUCACGUUUGCGAUAUGACACACUUUAAAAUUUGAGUUCCGAAGCUUUUAUCUAUUUGAGUGAUUGGAUGGAUGAAGGAUCUUGAAUAGCUGCAUGUUUUUGAGAACAUGCAUUGCAACUUCAUUUAGACAGAAUAUUUGCAGCUUUUUAUUACAAAGUGAUUUAACAGUUAAAAAUUUGUAUUGUAUGUAGAAAGAUGUUCAUUGUAUCCAAAUAUAAUUAAGCAAAUUUACAGUGGAAAGUUUUGGAAAUUCUACAAAUUCAUAGAAUAAAGUUCAAUUUAACUAGUCUCAUUCACAGUUAGCGUGUGUUUGGUAUGAAAUGAAAAUGUUUUCCUGGAAAUAAGUAGAUUUUUUACUUAUUUUCUCAUGUUUGAUUGGUGAGUAGAAAAUAUUUUCUAAAAAAGAUUUUUAGUGUUUGAUUUAUGAAUGAAUUUUUUUUUUGAGAAAUAUCUUUUAUUUUUACUAGAAUAGAAACUAUUUUAAAAAAAUAAACUUAAAUUUUUUUUUGGGGGGUGGGGGGGUCGAGGGUAGGUGGGGGUAGGGCUGAGGGUGGGGUAAAAAAAUUGAAGUUAAAAACAUUUUAAAAAAACAAGCUUUAAAUAUUUUUUUAUGGGGGCUGGUUUGAGGGUAGGAACAACAUAAAUUGAUUCUUUCAACAAAAAAAUAAAUUGUCAUUUGAAGUUGAAAGAAAGUUUUGGAAAAUGUUUUGCUUAAGUUUUGAAGAAAAGUCAUUUUCCUUAAAUUUGAGGUAAAUGAGUUGAUUUGGAAAACAUUUUCCAAAACAUUUAACCCCACCAAACAUGAAAAAAUUGGCUCCUUCCUACCAAACACACCCUUGGUGUCCUUUCUUUUCUUAUCUUUUAUUACUUUUAAUUAUCUUGUCCACAUUAUUCUUUUUUUCCUACUAGCUAAAUAAAGUCAUGAACAAAGAAGCACUAUAAAUAGACAGUCGUUUCAAAGCAGAAAAAUUCAUCAGAUACACUUUCCAAAUACAUCAUCAGUUCUUGUAUUUGCUGCCAUGGGAUUCUUGAAAAUCCUUCUUGUUUUCAUCUUCUGUUCUUUCCCAUGGCCUACUAUUCAGAGUGAUCUAGAGAUUUAUAUAGUCCAUGUUGAAUCCCCUGAAAGCCUAAUUACUACUCAAUCAUCGUUAACGGAUUUAGAUAGCUAUUACCUUUCUUUUUUGCCUAAAACUACUACCGCAAUUAGCUCGAGUGGAAAUGAAGAGGCUGCUAGCAUGAUCUAUUCCUAUCACAAUGUGAUGAAAGGCUUUGCAGCAAGAUUAACUUCAGAACAAGUGAAGGAAAUGGAGAAGAAACAUGGCUUUGUCUCUGCUCAGAAACAGAGGAUUUUGUCCUUGGAUACUACUCAUACUCCAAGUUUUCUUGGUUUGCAGCAGAACAUGGGUAUAUGGAAGGAUUCCAACUAUGGGAAAGGCGUGAUCAUCGGAGUUAUAGACACUGGAAUUAUUCCUGACCAUCCUUCUUUUAUCGAUGUUGGGAUGCCUCCCCCGCCUGCUAAGUGGAAGGGAGUUUGCGAGUCCAAUUUCAUCAACAAGUGUAGCAACAAGCUCAUUGGAGCCAGAUCUUACCAACUUGGCAAUGGUUCCCCGAUAGAUGGUAUUGGACAUGGUACACACACAGCAAGCACAACUGCAGGAGCCUUUGUGAAAGGUGCUAAUGUAUAUGGCAAUGCAAAUGGCACUGCUGUUGGUGUUGCCCCUCUUGCUCACAUAGCCAUAUAUAAGGUGUGUAAUUCUGAUGGUUGUUCUGACUCUGAUAUUUUAGCUGCCAUGGAUUCAGCUAUAGAUGAUGGCGUAGAUAUUCUUUCAGUGUCCCUUGGUGGAAGAUCAGUUCCUUUCUAUGCUGACAGUAUUGCUAUCGGGGCAUACAGUGCAACGGAAAGAGGGAUUCUUGUAAGUUGCUCUGCUGGAAAUAGUGGUCCUUGGCAUGCCUCAGCAGGAAACACAGCCCCUUGGAUUCUUACAGUAGGUGCCAGCACGCUUGAUAGGAAGAUAAAAGCUACUAUUAAGCUUGGAAAUGGGGAGGAAUUUGAAGGGGAAUCUGCUUAUCGUCCAAAGAUUUCCAACUCGACAUUCUUCACUCUAUUUGAUGCUGCAAAAAAUGCAAAAGAUCAAUCUGAAACCCCUUAUUGCAGACCAGGGUCACUCACUGACCCUGCUAUAAGAGGAAAGAUAGUAUUAUGUUUAGCAUUCGGUGGUGUAGCCAAUGUUGAUAAAGGACAAGUUGUGAAGGAUGCUGGAGGUGUUGGCAUGAUUGUCAUCAAACCGUCACAAUAUGGUGUCACUAAAUCAGCUGAUGCUCAUGUUCUUCCAGCAUUGGAUGUUUCAGCUGCAGAUGGAUUAAGAAUUCGUGCUUAUACAAACUCAAUAUUAAACCCUGUUGCUACAAUCACAUUCCAAGGAACAAUAAUUGGAGAUAAAAAUGCUCCAAUAGUUGCUGGAUUUUCUUCUCGGGGACCAAGUAGAGCUAGUCCUGGAAUCUUGAAACCUGACAUAAUCGGUCCUGGUGUUAAUAUCCUUGCUGCUUGGCCUACCUCCGUGGAUGACAACAAGAACACCAAAUCCACAUUCAAUAUUAUAUCAGGCACCUCAAUGUCUUGCCCUCACCUUAGUGGCGUAGCAGCUCUGCUGAAGAGUGCACAUCCUGAUUGGUCUCCUGCUGUUAUUUAAGUCUGCAAUCAUGACAACCGCUGACACAUUAAGCCUUGCCAGUAGUCCAAUACUUGAUGAAAGGCUCCUUCCUGCUGAUAUCUAUGCAAUUGGUGCAGGACAUGUUAAUCCAUCGAGGGCAAAUGAUCCAGGACUAGUUUAUGAUACCCCAUUUGCGGAGUAUGUACCUUAUUUUUGUGGUUUAAGCUACGCCAAUCAAGAGAUAGGUAAAAUGUUACAACGUCAGGUGAAUUGUUUGAAGGUGAAAAGUAUCCCUGAAGCACAAUUAAACUAUCCUUCAUUUUCCAUAUUUGGACUUGGAUCAACUCCUCAGACAUAUACCAGAACUGUGACCAACGUUGGUGAUGCUACAUCAUCUUACAAAGUGGAGGUAGCUUCACCAAAAGGUGUUGUCGUGGAAGUUGAACCCACAGAGCUAAAUUUUUCCCGGUUGAACCAGAAGUUAACAUACCAAGUGACAUUUUCCAAGACAACCAACAGCUCAAACGAUAAUGUUGUCGAUGGAUUCUUGAAAUGGAGUUCUAAUAGGCACUCAGUGAGAAGUCCAAUUGCAGUUGUGUUAGCCGAGUGAAAAAUUGGCUUUAUAAGUGCAUAAAGUAUUCAUACAUUUGAUUAUGGUGAAAAUGUUGUUUGUUUUCGCUAUAUACUUUAGGUUACUUUUUCAUUAUUUUUUAAAAAAAAUAUUACUUGAGUGACCAUAUGUGGGAAUUUCGGUUCAUACUCAAAUUUGAAAAAUUAGUUGUCGUCUACGUAAUAACGCACCCUUUGAUCCAGAAACUUGACAGUGACAUUCUUAGCAUCCCGCAGGGAAAGCAUGAUUGUUUUUUUUCAGUUAGAAGUGUUGAAAUCUUUGGGAACACAAUGGGGAAUUACGGAGACGAGUUCUACAGAUGAUUUUGCUGGAGAAGAUUAAGAAACUAAAGAAAACAUUAAGUACGGAUACUUUUAGACCAAACUAUUUUAAUUCAAUUUCGCAUAAUUCAAAAGCAUUUUUACCCUUUUUCGAAAAUAUUGUUAUUGCUAAAAAGAAAGUCCAAGUCUUUUCCUCUCUGGUGACUUCAAAAAGUAAUUGGGACGUUCAUGCUAAACUUAUUAAUAUGACACGAAAAAUAAUAGGGACAUUCCUAUGAGUUUUCUUGAAAAGUCUUUAUAAUUAAUUUACAUGGACACUUUUAUGUAUAUUUUUCUAUUUCUAUUCUAUUCUAUUCUAUUUUCUACUUUCUAUUCUAUUCUACUUUCUAUUCUAUUCUAUUCUAUUCUACUAUAUUAUAAAAGAGAGUUAGGGCCAAGUAUAUAAUAUAUAAUAUUCAAGAUUGGGACUUUUCCCAAUCCUGAAUAUUAUAUAUUAUACUUGUGGGACUUUUAAAAUUAUAUUUUAUACCCAAGUAUAAUAUAUAAUAUUCAAGAUUGGGACUUUUCCCAAUCCUGAAUAUUAUAUAUUAUACUUGUGGGACUUUUAAAAUUAUAUUUUAUACCCAAGUAUAAUAUAUAAUAUUCAAGAUUGGGACUUUUCCCAAUCCUGAAUAUUAUAUAUUAUACUUGUGGGACUUUUAAUCACAAAUGGAAAAGUCUCAAUCAAGGAAGCAACAUAUAUCAUUUACAAAUGACUUAAAAAGCUUUAAAAUAUUUAAAGGCUAUAUAAUAAAAUAGGUUGACUCUCAGAAUUCUGUCAGUCUCACAUAUAUUGGGACAGAAGAAAUAACACAUAUCAUUUUAAUAUUACCAAAAAAGUAUUAUAAAUAAUAAUAAUUAACAACUUAAAAUAUCUGAAAGACAUUUUAAAAGGGUUAAUUUUGUAAUUUUAUCCAUAUCACAUAAAUUAGGACAAAGUGACCAGUAAUGUACGUUAUUUGAAAGUUACAUAAAAAUAUUAUAAAUCACAAUAAUUAAUAACUUCAAACAUUUAAAAAAAAUAUGGAAAUUUGGAUGACUCUCCAAAUUUCAUUUGUGUCACAUAAAUUGAGACAACAAAAAUAACAUAUAUUGGGUCCAUUUUAAUUUAUUUGUCUUAUUUUUUUUAUAUUUAAAAAUUGCGUAAAAAUACUAUAAAUCAUGAUAAUUGACAACAUAAAAUAUUUCAAAAAUGUUGUAUGUGGGUAGUCUUAUUAUGCCUUAAAUAGCGUCAAAGAAAGUACAAGUUUGUGAUAAAAAAACUUAUUCUUUUAUCCACACAAACAAUCGCUUCAAAAACUCGGUUAUUAGCCCCAAAAUAUACCAUUUAUAUUAUUGGGCCCGUGCGUAGCACGGGCAACAUUAUCUAGUAUAUAUAAUAUAAAAUACUCUUUUUCUUUGUAUAUAUGUGAAUAACGAUCGUAAUUAUUUUUGGUGAGCAAUGAAAAGUGAAACUUACCCUUUAUCAUUUAAUUGUAUAGUUUGACCUUCAAAUAGGUUGGCGUCUGAUCUAGCGGUACAUAAGUUCUUUAAGGAUGUAAUGCAUAAUUUAUAGAAUAUUAUGAUAAAAAUAUAAAUUUAUGCUUCAUAUAAAAUUUAUCUACUUUAAAGGUACGAAAUUAUAGAUCAAUACAAAAUAGGGAAAAAAGUGCAAAUGACCCCUUUCCAUUACAGGUAUCCAUAUGGCCAGAUCAGUUUAAUUACUACAGUUGGGUCAGCCCGGUAAAAAACGGAUCAACCAAAUUAUAUGGGUUGACUUGGAAUUGAAGAAUGAGUUGUGCCAAACGAAGGAAAGAAAAAGAAGAAUAAUCAAAUAAUAGGAUUUUGUCCUAAUUUUCUUAUCUUAUUUGAAGUUUAUUUUUUCCUAAAAGAAAAGACAAAACAUUACCAUAAAUGUUUUUUACUUUUCUGAAAGGAAAAUAUAAUUUUUUUCCAUAUUUGGUUUAUUCUUUCCUUAAAAAAAAAGUUUUGAGAUCUAUAAAUUGAAGAUCCAUAUUUUCAUAACAAAACAACAAUAGAAUUCACAAUGUAGUCGUUUAGAUACUUUUGUUUAUGAGGAGAUUUUUUCCUAAACAUAUUUAUGUUUUUUCAAUAUUAGUGUUAUAAUAUGUAGGUCGCUUGACCAAACUAUAUCAAUAAUAUGUUUUUAUUAUAGUUUUAUUUGUCGUCUGAUUUAUCAACAUAUGAUUUGCAAUUGUAAGCUUCUGCAUGAUGCCCUAAUCACUUUGGAACCCAACAUCAUCCAACUGUAUAAAAUAAAAAUAGCUGAUAUAAUAAAUGUAUAACUCAUGUCUAAUAUGUAUUUUCUCUGUCCUAGUUUAUAUUAUUCACUCAAUCUAAAAAAAUGACAUAAUUUUAUAUUUUUUAAUAAUUUAACUUUUAAAUAUUUAUCUACAAAUUUAGUUGAAGAAGGAUGCAUCUUCAACUUCAAAAUCGAUUGUGGAAAAACGCCCAAAAGGGGGGGGGGGGAGUCGAAUUGUUGGUGGCUCCAAUAAGGGCUUUGAGUCGGGAUUCAUGGGUGACACCAUUGUUGAAAGUGAGAAAAAGCUACGGGAGUUGAUACAGAGCAAAAGAGAAAGUGUAGAAAGAUUUCUUCAUCAUUUUUUUUUGUUUUCAGCAGAUCAGAUUGAUGACUUUUUUUCUGAUUUUUUGUUUUUCAUCUUUUUAUGAUAAAUAUGAGUUCACUUUUUUAAUGCAUAUAGUUGUUUUUAUUUCUUAAAUUAAUGUAUAAUGCAUUCGUUUCAACAUUAUGAUACAUUACAAUUUUAUCAAGAGUUGUUGGUGGCUCCGGUAAGGACUUUGAGUCGAGAUCCAUGGGUGACGCCAUUGUUGAAAAUGAGAAAAAAGCUACCAGAGUUCAUACAAAGCAAAGGAGAAUGUGUGGAAGGAUUUCUUCAUCAUUUUUUUUUUUUGCUAUUAGCAUAUCAAAUUGUUGAUUUAUUUUUUUGAUUUUUUGUUGCUUUCAUCGAAUCUUUUAAUGUAUCUAGUUGAUUUUGAUUCUUAAAUUAAUCUAUAAUUAAUUUGUUUCACCUUUAUGAUCCAUUACAAUUUUAUCGUGUACAAUAUAUCAUUUGCAAUUAUUAAUUCUGAUACAUAACCCUAAUUUAUUGAAACACAAAUUAGUAUGUAACAUGUUCAUAGUUAUGUAUUGGAUACACAAUUAUUAUGAAUUUCAUUAUCUUUCACUACCAAUACAUAUACCCAGCCUUAUUCAACUAGUAGAAGGCUAUUAUUCCUAAAAGGGAAAAGGGUCAAAUAUGCCCCUAAACUAUUCGAAAAGGUAUAGAUAUACCAUCCAUUUAAAGUUUGGCUCACUUGUGCCCUCGCCGUCCAACUUUUCGUCUAGAUAUGCCCUUAUGGGCGUUAAACGCCAAAUGGAAUUGUCACGUCAUUUUUACAUUACCACGUGGCAUUGAAAAAGGGUCAAAUAUAUCCCUAAACUAUUCUAAAAGGUCUAGAUAUACCCCCCUUUUAAAUAAACUACCCGACCCGUUUUUAACAAUUUUUUUUAAUNNNNNNNNNNNNNNNNNNNNNNNNNNNNNNNNNNNNNNNNNNNNNNNNNNNNNNNNNNNNNNNNNNNNNNNNNNNNNNNNNNNNNNNNNNNNNNNNNNNNNNNNNNNNNNNNNNNNNNNNNNNNNNNNNNNNNNNNNNNNNNNNNNNNNNNNNNNNNNNNNNNNNNNNNNNNNNNNNNNNNNNNNNNNNNNNNNNNNNNNNNNNNNNNNNNNNNNNNNNNNNNNNNNNNNNNNNNNNNNNNNNNNNNNNNNNNNNNNNNNNNNNNNNNNNNNNNNNNNNNNNNNNNNNNNNNNNNNNNNNNNNNNNNNNNNNNNNNNNNNNNNNNNNNNNNNNNNNNNNNNNNNNNNNNNNNNNNNNNNNNNNNNNNNNNNNNNNNNNNNNNNNNNNNNNNNNNNNNUUAUUUAAAAGGGGGGUAUAUCUAGACCUUUUCGAAUAGUUUAGGGGUAUAUUUGACCCUUUUUCAAUGCCACGUGGUAAUGUAAAAAUGAUGUGGCAAUUCCAUUUGGCGUUUAACGUCCAUAAGGGCAUAUCUAGACGAAAAGUUGGACGGCGAGGGCACGAGUGAGCCAAACUUUAAAUGAGGGGUAUAUCUAGACCUUUUCGAAUAGUUUAGGGGCAUAUUUGAUCAUUUUCCCUUCCUAAAAUGAAAGUCUAGAGUCUGUUUGGAUUGACUUUACAAUUGGUCAAAUCUACUUUUAAGUCAUUUAUUUUUUUGUUUUUGGGAGUGUUUGACAAAGUAGAAAAUAACUUAAAAUAAGUUAGAAAUGAGUUUAAAAAAUAAGUUAAAAGUUACUAAAGUUCGACUUUUAAAAAAAUACUUUUAAAAACUAUAUUUUUUAAUAGUUAAAGCCAUACGGGAAGGGUUUGGUGACUUCAGAAAGUAAUUAGGAUGUUGAGUCGUUGACGCUAAACUUAUUAAUAUGACAAGAAAAACAAUAGUCCUAUGAGUUUCCUGGAAAAUACAUUGUAAUUAAUUCACAUGGACACUUUUUAUUUUUUAACAUAUUGUGGCCAAAUGAGAAAUCUAUAGUUAGGAUUUUAAAUUGGAAUUUUUUUGCUUAUAACCACUCAAAAAUAACUUAAUUAUACUCCAUAACUAUAAUUUGAUAAUUACGAUUCGUAGCUAGAUAUUAGAGGGAGGAGAGACGCGAACGAGAUUGGAGAGGGAGGAGAGAGGGAGCAAGAGAUCAGAGGGAGGAGAGUGGAGAGAGGCGAAUUGUAUAUGUCUAUCUAUCGAAUUGUAUAUGUAUAUCUGUUAAACAAUUGUAUAGUUGUAACUGGUAUACACAUGUACUUGUAUAUCUGGCGAGCGAGAUUGGGAGAGGGGGAGAGAGACGAGCGAGAUUGGGAGAGAGGCAAGCGAUAGAGGGCAGAGAGUGGAGAGAGACUAACUGUAUAUGUAUAUCUGUCAGAUAAUUAUAUAUAUGCAACUGAUAUACAUAUGUAUUUGUAUAUCUGGCCAGCGAGAUUGGGAGAGGGAGGAGAACGGCAAGCGAGAGAGGGUAGAGAGUGGAGAGAGACUAAUUGUAUUUGUAUAACUGUAAUAUUAUUGUGUAUAUAUAUGUAUAAUCUAUAUUUGUAAAUGUAUAAGUGACAUAAUUACAGCUAAAAUUUAGCUGCAAACCGUAAUUUAUUCAAACUAUAACUAUGUUAGCUAAUUAACUAGUAUAUGCGGCCUAUCCGCAUAAUUUUCCUUUUAAAAAAUUUAAUAUUUAUACAUAUAUUUGAUUAAUUUAUUAAAAUGAAUAUACUAUUUGAACAAAAUCUACUAAAUUCAGUUGAUCCCACAUGUAGGUAGCUUUACCCUUCACGACAUGCCAACUAUACAUGUCAAAUGUCCACGCAAGUCCAAUCUCCACAAUUGAAGGAGAUCAUUAUCCAUGUAACAUGUUUCGUCUUGCAAAGAAAUUAAAUUAACCAACUUUAGUUUUGUUCUUAAUUUUUUCAAUUUCGAUCAACUCAAAUCUCCUCUGAACAUCAUAAAUUUUAGAUGUGAGCUCCUUUCGAUAUUUUAAGUAUAUUGAUAUAUUAUUUGUUCAAAAUGAUUCACGUUUGCGAUAUGACAAAUUUUAAAAUUUGAGUUUCGAAGCUAUUUAUAUAUUUGAGUACUUCGAUGGAUGAAGGAUCUUGAAUAGCUGCAUGUUUUUGAGAACAUGCCUUGCAGCUUCAUUUAGACAGAAUAUUUGCAACUUUUUAUUACAAAGUGAUUUAACAGUUAAAAAUUUGUAUUGUAUGUAGAAAGAAGUUCAUUGUAUCGAAAUAUAAUUAAGCAAAUUUACAGAGAUUGGUCUUUUGGAAAAUCUACAAAUCUAUCUAUAUAUUCUAUAUAUAAUAAGCCACAAUGUAACUAUCAUUAUAACUAUCUUGUUAGCUUUCAACCAAAAGCUAACAAGAUAGGAAUAGGAAUAGAAAUAGUAGUAACUAUCUUGUUAGCUUUCAACCAAAAGGAGUACUUCUUUUAAAUAAUAAAUAUGUCAUUGUAUGAGCUAUUUAUUACUCAUUCCUUUUGAAUUUGUUAAUCUGGUUUUGAUCUGAUACAUAGUUUAGGAAAGUAAAUUAGAUUUUGAGAAAAAACAUUAAGUGAUACUUGAAGUUGUCCCAGAUUUUCAAAAAGACACCUUAACUUUUCGUGCGUCCUAUUACCCCAUAAAACAUUCAAAAUCACAAUAGAUACACAUUUUUUACACAAUAUUUCUACUUCGGACAAAAAUAUCCUUCGAAUGUGCAAUUUCUUAAAAACAAAAAGUCGGACCCAUUAUUGAUGUAUUGAAGGAUGCUUUGGUAAUUUCCUAUGAUGAAUUAGUUUUGUUUGCUUCUUUUAAAUUUAUUUUACUAUACUAAAUAAUUGUAUAAAAUAUUAUGAAUCACGAUAAUUAAUUACUUAAUUAUUUUAAAAAGAUAUAAAAAAUAUAUAAAAAGAUCUGAUUGACUCUUCAAAUUUUACCGGUGACACAUAAAUUGGGACAAAUGAAAUAAUAUAUAUUAUUUGAAAAUUUCUUAGAAAGUACUAUACAGUAAUUAAAUUAACAGCUAGAAAUAUUUCAAAGACAAAAAAAAUUGAUUGAAUCUCAAAAAANNNNNNNNNNNNNNNNNNCCAUUAUUGAUGUAUUCAAGGAUGCUUUGGUAAUUUUCCUAUGAUGAAUUCGUUUUGUUUGUUGUUUAAUUUUUUUUAAAUAAUUGUAUAAAAUAUUAUAAAUCACAAUAAUUAUUUACUUAAAUAUUCAAAAGAUAUAAAAAUAUGUAAAAGAUCUGAUUAACUCUUCAAAUUUUAUCGGUGACACAUAAAUUGGACAAAUGAAAUAAUAUAUAUUAUUUGAAAAUUACUUAGAAAGUACAAUAAUUUACAGUAAUUAACAAUAGAAUAUUUUAAAGACAAAAAAAAUUGAUUGAAUCUCUAAAUUUUAUUAGUACCACAUAAAUUGAGAAAGAAGAAAUAACCUUUAUUAUUUCAAAAUUGCGUAAAAGAUAUUACAAAUCAUACAACAAUAAUUAGCAAUUUAGAAUGUUAAAAGACAUAAAAAUUUUUUUACCAUAGUUAACAAUAAUUAAAAAUUUAAACUAUUUUAAAUUAAUAUUAAAGUUUGAUUAACUCUUUAAUUUUGUCUUUGUCAUAUAAGUUGAAACAAAAAAUGAUACAUAUUGGGCCCGUGCUAGCACGGGCUCCAAUGUCUAGUAUAUAUAUACAUAUAUAUAUAAAUAAAGGAGGAACAUAGAGAAGGUGAUGUGACAUCUUUCUAUGCCUCCAUUCAUAUUUAUUUUUUUCCUCCUUUUUUUAGACUUUUUUUUCUCAUUUCUUUCAAUUAUUUUUUCUUGCAAAAUCAUCUUAAUUCAUACUUCUUUAAUUGCAUGAAUUAUAUUCUUAAUUAGUAUUAAUAAUAUUCAUAACUAUCAAAUCUUUCAUAUUUAUAACCUCCAAUUAUUUAAUGUACAAGUUUAUAACACUAUAAAAUCACACUAAAAUUUUGUUUAUUUUAGUCAUUGCCUCGGUUGAAGAAUUAGUGGGAGCCGGGAGGCAUGUUAGUGUAGUUUAAGCUUUAAGGUAAUUAUCUUUUGCAAUUAUAAUUUCAUAUAUUAUUUUUAAUUAGCAAGCUUAAUUUGUCAAAGUAUAUUUUCGCUUUCUUCUGAAUAAAUUAUUUGGUUUAUUAUCCUUAGGAUUCUCUUACUGUAACCACAAAAAUGAAGUUUCAUUUUAGGAUUAAUAGUUUAUUUUUUAUUUUCCUUGACUCUUACAUAUAGGUGUGAAAUUAGCCGAACGAAAAUUAAUGGAUUUUGAAUUAUUCAGGUUAGUUACCUCUAUUUUUUUAGGUGAUUAAGAAGUAAAGUUUUCAUUGUAUUAGGUUCUUUUUUUUUACUAUUUAUGUUUCAUAAAAAAUGAUUAUAUAUGUAGGAGGGCUUAUGAUUAAAUGCAGUUUUCUCCUUAUUCUUCAUCUUUUGCUUCUUUUGAUGGAUAAGUUUUUAAAACUUUUUUUUAUCAUAUUUUGCAGAUUAUAGGAGGAGCAUUUUGAUUAGAUAUCCUUAUAUAAUUCGAUUUUACAAGAUAAAAUAAUCUGAUAUGUUUAAUGUAAUUACAAUUCUUUCUUUGUUGAAAUCAUGCAUUUAAUAUUAUUUGUUUGUGCUCUUGAAGAUACCAAUUAUGAAUUAUUUUUUUAAAAAUCAUUUCAUUUUUCUCUUUGCUCCUCCAUGUAAAUCUUAGAGAGUUUGAUUAUACUAUAUUGAUAACACUUUUCAAAUUUUUUAUUUAUUUAGGUAAAUUUAUCUCUCUCUUUUGUUGAUAAGGUUAAUUUAUUGUGUUUAUUGGUUAGAAUAUUUUUAAAAAUAGAAGCAGAAAAGGAGUCAAUGGAUAUGGACAUGCUACUUAAGAAAGUAUGUACAUAUACUUCUAUAAUCUUGUGGAUCAAUUUUUAAUAACUACAAUGAUAGAAUAUGAGAAUGUAAAGUUAAUUAAUUUAUAAUUUUGAAGAUACAAUUGAUUUCUUUUAAAAAAAAUUAUUAAUAUGUAAAAUUGCCGUUCUCAAAAUUUUCAUUUUUUGUUAUUGUCAGAAGUUGUCAAGUUAUUUCAAAUUUUUAAGAUCAUUACUACAAAAUGUACUAUGUUGGAUCUGAACUCUUCAGAUUUACUUUUUGAAAAAUGCAAAAAGAUUAGGUUAGAAUAAAAAGAAUUUUGUAAAGUUGUUUGUGUCUCUUAAACUUUCUUUACCAAGAGAGUAAUUAUUAUUCCUCCCUGACCUUAAUUCAUCAUUUAUUUUCAAGGAAUAUAUUUUAGUGCCGGUAUUAAAUCUUUCUUUCUUGAUUAAAACAUGGAAUCAUGAUUUAACACAUGACAUUGUAGAUAUUAAAAAAAAAAAAUGCAAUGAUAAGAGGAAUUAGUCAAAAUAAAAAGUAAUUUUUAUAAUGUUUCAUAUGAUAAGUUAAAAAAAUAUGAUUAGUAAAAAGUGAAGUAGAAUGAAUUUAAUUAUUCAAGUAAGAAAACAAUUUUUGAAGUGGGUAAAUAUAAAAAAAGAAAAAGAAAUAAAUUAAUUAAUUUUUUCAUGACAUGAUUUUUGCUUCAUUUAUGAAUAAUAAGAAUUUUGUGAGCCAAAUAAUUUUAGAUUGAAGUAAUGAAACUUGUAUAUUUACACCUUUCAAAAGUUAAUUUUUUUUUUUAUCUUUUCCAAAAUCGUACCACACUUUUAAAUAUUAUUAUGUUCAUAUGUUAAAUUUUUAAAAUAUUAUUUUUAAAACUAACUGUAUUUAUGUUUUUAUCAAAUUUUUAACUUUUUUUUCUUAUAAACCCCUUGAAAUAUUACUGAAAAUUAAAAUCACUCCAACAAUAUAUUAUAACUCUCCACAUUUAUUGCUCAAUUUAAAUGGAAAGGCAUCUAAAAAUAUUAUCUCUUUAAAUUGCUUUUCUAUUUAAAUUAUUCUUUAUAUUUAUAGGCCUAUUAGUUGAGAAACAAAAUAGAGUAAAUAGUUUGUUGAUUUUUCUGGGGAAAAAAAAGUGAUCUUUAAAAGUUUAUAUUUAUCUAUAUAAUAAUUUCUGGCACUAAAAAAAGUGAAGUAUCAUCUCUUUAGUUUGAUGACUUUUUUUCUCUCUUUCUAUUUAACUUAUUUUAUAAAAAUAAUUGUGUCAAUAACUUUAAUCCUAAUUGUCUUUUCAUUAAAUUUUCAUUUUUAAUGAUAAUGUUCAUUAUUUGUGCAUUGAUGUACAAAUAUUUCUCCUAUUAUGUUACAAACAAGUUCAAAGUCACAUUCUUAACCUCUUAAUUACUAUGACUUUUCAUUCUCAGGAAUUUAUUGUAUAUUAAAUGUAGUAUUAAUCUAAAAUGGGAAAAAUACUCUUUAAUGUUUUUGUGUAUAAGCCAAGCAAAACUAGAAGAAAUAGAAAUUUGUACGUGCCAUUUAAAACAAAAAUCUUUUUUUUUUUUGCGUCGCUAAUUCUCUUUUUUUUUUAUGUUUAUUUUUAAAUUUAUUUAUUUUCUUACCUUCUUUCGUUUUCCAAUUUUAAUAAUUUUUAUUUUUAUUUUUCAGUGAUCUUGACUUGACAAUUAUUUACGUUGGUGAAUAUAAGAAAAUUAGAAAGUAAUUAAUAGUGAUGAAGUUAACAAAGAGGAGGAAUCAGCAGGUAAUAAAAAACUAUUUGUGUGAAAAUUAAGUAACUGAAAUCAGUAUACACCUUAUAGAUGACUUGAAAUAACAAUUGUCACAAAAUAUAGGUAUAUUUAAUUGAUCUUUUUUCUAUUUCUUCUUAUUUCCCUCUUUUAAAUUUUAUUUUAUUUAGAAAAAUGAAAACAUGUAAAUUUUAUGCAGUAUAAAUUUUGAGAAAGUAUACAAAAAAUAUAAUUAAUAAAAGGACUUCCAGAAGAAGAAGAAUAUAGCGAUUACAUCUCAAGUUUACAUAUUAUCGAAAAAUCAUACUAAAAAUGUAAUUAAAAGAAUGGUUACAAAGAAGCAAAAAAAAAAACUAAUCACAUUUUUACAUAAAUAUAGAGAAAUUAUAUUAAAAAAAUAAUUAAGAAAAAGGAUCUUAUUUUUUUAAAAAAAAAAAAUAGGAGAAAAAAAUCACAUCUCAAGUUUACAUUCCAUAAUCUUAACAUUACCAUCUAUUUUUUUUUAGUAAAUUUAUUUUUAAUAUUUAACUUUUGUAAGUUCACAUAUAUUGAUUUCUUAUAUAACUUUAAUAUUUAACAAAAAUAUUUUUCAUAGCUUCUCUUUUAUGAAAUUGUGUGCUUAAUAAAAAACAGUUCCCUUUUAUUAAAGGUAGUAACCAAUGGUAUUAGAAUGUAACUUGCAGUUCUUUUCUUAAUCACGCUAAGCGCGGCCAAGUACUAGUUCAUAGAAUAAAGUUCAAUCUAAUCUCUUUCACACUUAGUGACCUUUCGUUUCUUAUCUUUUACUCCAUGUCCUUAAUUAUUUGUCCACUUUUAAUUAUCUUGUCCACAUUAUUCUUUUUUUCCACUAGCUAAAUAAAGUCAUGAGCAAAGAAGCACUAUAAAUAGACAGUUGUUUCAAAGCAGAAAAAUUCAUCAAAUACACUUUCCAAAUACAUCAUCAGUUCUUGUAUUUGCAGCCAUGGGAUUCUUGAAAAUCCUUCUUGUUUUCAUCUUUUGUUCUUUCCCAUGGCCUACUAUUCAGAGUGAUCUCGAGACUUAUAUAGUCCAUGUUGAAUCCCCUGAAAGCCUAGUUACUACUCAAUCAUCGUUAACGGAAUUAGAGAGCUAUUACCUUUCUUUUUUGCCUAAAAUUACUACCGCAAUUAGCUCGAGUGGAAAUGAAGAGGCUGCUAGCAUGAUCUAUUCCUAUCACAAUGUGAUGAAAGGCUUUGCAGCAAGAUUAACUGCAGAACAAGUGAAGGAAAUGGAGAAAAAACACGGCUUUGUCUCUGCUCAGAAACAGAGGAUUUUGUCCUUGGAUACUACUCAUACUCCAAGUUUUCUUGGUUUGCAGCAGAACAUGGGUGUAUGGAAAGAUUCCAACUAUGGGAAAGGCGUGAUCAUCGGAGUUCUAGACACUGGAAUUAUUCCUGACCAUCCUUCUUUUAGCGACGUUGGGAUGCCUCCCCCGCCUGCUAAGUGGAAAGGAGUUUGUGAGUCCAAUUUCAUCAACAAGUGUAACAACAAGCUCAUUGGAGCAAGGUCUUACAAACGUGGCAAUGGUUCCCCGAUAGAUGGUAAUGGACAUGGUACACACACAGCAAGCACAGCUGCGGGAGCCUUUGUGAAAGGUGCUAAUGUAUAUGGCAAUGCUAAUGGCACUGCAGUUGGUAUUGCUCCUCUUGCCCAUAUAGCCAUAUAUAAGGUAUGUAAUUCCAAUGGCAAGUGUCCUGACAGUGAUAUUUGAUAAGAGCUUAUGCCUUUUGGUGUUUUGAUGAUCUCCUCACAAGUGCAGGGACCUGGUCCUCUGCAGAGUAUGAAUACUCGUCCAGCUGUCAAAGUGCGGUACAACUGUAAAAGCUGUCUGCGUCAGAAGCUGCAGAGUACUUCACCAAUCAGAAGCAAGGAGGUUGCUUGUACGUUUGGUAAUAACUUUUUAUGGUAUAUACUAAACAAAAUACAACAAUAUUACUCAUUCAUUUUUAAAGGGAGAAAUAUUUCAAGCUUCAAGAACAGCAAGGGAUCUAAUCGAUUACUUCAAGAGCUUCAAGAACAACAAGGGAUCUGAUCGAUCACUUCAAAAGCUUCUUGUACCAGCUGUUACUUUGUUUGCUUGUAAUAGUGCUUACAUUGUAGGAUUCGUUUUGUGAAAGAAACGUUUCAAAUUUGUGUGAAUCAUUGUAAGAACUAGGUUAAGGGUAACUUAGGGUCUUACUCUAAAGUCUAUAUUAAUCGGUCGGGAUUAGUAUAGUGGGCGGUGUUGUAUCUGCUCUGGCUCAUCUAAGUAAUAGGAUGUAUUGCUUAGAGUUGGGAUUAGUAGGUUAAUCUCGGUUUGUAAACUUUCUUUUACUUUUGCUUGGAGAAGAUUAGUGAAAGAAGUUUGAAAAGUCCUGGCAGGCCAGGUCGUGGUUUUACUCCCUUGAGCAAGGAGGUUUCCACGUAAAGUUGUUGUGCAAUCUUUACUUUCAGCACUUUGUUUAUUUCUGUUAUUGUAACUGUGCUGAGGACCUGGUCCCAUAGAAAACGUGGACGCAUACAUUCCAACAAUAUUUUAGCUGCCAUGGAUUCAGCUAUAGAUGAUGGAGUAGAUAUUCUUUCAAUCUCCCUUGGUGGAUCUCCGAGCCCUUUUUAUAAUGACAGUACUGCUAUCGGGGCGUACAGUGCAACAGAAAGAGGCAUUUUUGUUAGUUGCUCAGCAGGCAAUGAUGGUCCAUUAAAUGGCUCAGUAGAUAACUCUGCCCCGUGGAUUCUUACUGUAGGUGCCAGCACACUUGAUAGAAAGAUAAAAGCUACUGUCAAGCUUGGAAAUGGACAGGAAUUUGAAGGAGAAUCUGCUUAUCGUCCACAGAUUUCCAACUCAACAUUCUUCACUCUAUUUGAUGCUGCAAAAUAUGCAAAAGAUCAAUCGGAAACCCCUUAUUGCAAACCAGGGUCACUCAAUGACCCUGCUAUAAGAGGAAAGAUAGUAUUAUGUCUAGCAGGCGGUGGCGUCCCCAGGGUUAAAGGACAAGUUGUGAAGGAUGCUGGAGGUGUUGGCAUGAUUAUCAUCAACCGGCGAAGCUCCGGUGUCACUAAAUCAGCUGAUGCUCAUGUUCUUCCAGCAAUGGAUGUUUCAGCUGCAGAUGGAACGAAAAUUCGUGCCUAUAUGAACUCAACAUCGAACCCUGUUGCUACAAUCACGUUCCAAGGAACGAUAAGUUGGGGAAUAAAAUGCUCCUGCAGUUGCUUCAUUUUCUUCUCGCGGACCAAGUAGAGCUAGUCCUGGAAUCUUGAAACCUGACAUAAUCGGUCCUGGUGUUAAUAUCCUUGCUGCUUGGCCCAUCUCUGUGGAUGACAACAGAAACACCAAAUCCAGAUUCAAUAUUAUAUCAGGCACCUCAAUGUCUUGCCCUCACCUUAGUGGCGUAGCAGCUCUGCUGAAGAGCUCACAUCCUGAUUGGUCUCCUGCUGUUAUUAAGUCUGCAAUCAUGACAACCGCUGACACGUUAAACCUUGCCAAUAGUCCAAUACUAGACGAAAGGCUCCUUUCUGCUGACAUCUAUGCAAUCGGUGCAGGACAUGUUAAUCCAUCUAGGGCAAAUGAUCCAGGACUAGUUUAUGAUACCCCAUUUGAGGACUAUGUACCUUAUUUCUGU